RNAcentral lists this ribosomal RNA (1000 nucleotides) under uncultured bacterium. RNAcentral describes it as "bacterial SSU rRNA". It matches the Rfam family "Bacterial small subunit ribosomal RNA", at positions 355 to 1375 of the family's 1533-position model. The record is from RNAcentral. RNAcentral also lists the same sequence under 1 other name.
UGGGGGAUAUUGCGCAAUGGGGGCAACCCUGACGCAGCAACGCCGCGUGAAGGAUGAAGGUUUUCGGAUUGUAAACUUCUUUUAUUAAGGACGAAACUUGACGGUACUUAAUGAAUAAGCUCCGGCUAACUACGUGCCAGCAGCCGCGGUAAUACGUAGGGAGCAAGCGUUGUCCGGAUUUACUGGGUGUAAAGGGUGCGUAGGCGGCUUUGCAAGUCAGAUGUGAAAUCUAUGGGCUCAACCCAUAAACUGCAUUUGAAACUGUAGAGCUUGAGUGAAGUAGAGGCAGGCGGAAUUCCCCGUGUAGCGGUGAAAUGCGUAGAGAUGGGGAGGAACACCAGUGGCGAAGGCGGCCUGCUGGGCUUUAACUGACGCUGAGGCACGAAAGCGUGGGUAGCAAACAGGAUUAGAUACCCUGGUAGUCCACGCUGUAAACGAUGAUUACUAGGUGUGGGGGGUCUGACCCCCUCCGUGCCGGAGUUAACACAAUAAGUAAUCCACCUGGGGAGUACGGCCGCAAGGUUGAAACUCAAAGGAAUUGACGGGGGCCCGCACAAGCAGUGGAGUAUGUGGUUUAAUUCGAAGCAACGCGAAGAACCUUACCAGGUCUUGACAUCCAACUAACGAAGUAGAGAUACAUUAGGUGCCCUUCGGGGAAAGUUGAGACAGGUGGUGCAUGGUUGUCGUCAGCUCGUGUCGUGAGAUGUUGGGUUAAGUCCCGCAACGAGCGCAACCCUUGCUAUUAGUUGCUACGCAAGAGCACUCUAAUAGGACUGCCGUUGACAAAACGGAGGAAGGUGGGGACGACGUCAAAUCAUCAUGCCCCUUAUGACCUGGGCCACACACGUACUACAAUGGAUGUUAACAGAGGGAAGCAAGACAGCGAUGUGGAGCAAACCCCUAAAAACAUUCUCAGUUCAGAUUGCAGGCUGCAACCCGCCUGCAUGAAGAUGGAAUUGCUAGUAAUCGCGGAUCAGCAUGCCGCGGUGAAUACGUUCCC